GGUACUUGAAGAAAUGGUUUACCGUCCCACAUACAUUUUGCAUAUGUAUGUGGGACGGUAAACCGCUUCUUGGUAUC
This 77-nucleotide microRNA precursor is filed under the name Callithrix jacchus (white-tufted-ear marmoset). RNAcentral describes it as "microRNA cja-mir-299 precursor". Its record names the gene cja-mir-299. The stretch from base 9 to 71 matches the Rfam family "mir-299 microRNA precursor family". Lineage: Eukaryota; Metazoa; Chordata; Mammalia; Primates; Cebidae. The record is from miRBase by way of RNAcentral.